Molecule: small nucleolar RNA, 75 nt
Organism: Daktulosphaira vitifoliae (grape phylloxera)
Lineage: Eukaryota; Metazoa; Arthropoda; Insecta; Hemiptera; Phylloxeridae
Source: RefSeq, a predicted model, not a curated record
AAAUCAUGAUGAAUAACUUUAUCACCAUCUUUCGACUGAAAUUACUGUUGAAUAAUGUUUUAUCUGAUGUAUGAU